UACGUAGGGUCCGAGCGUUGUCCGGAGUUACUGGGCGUAAAGCGCGCGCAGGCGGCUUGAUAAGUCUGGCGUGAAAGCCCCCGGCUCAACCGGGGAGGGUCGUCGGAGACUGUUGAGCUCGAGGACGGUAGAGGGGGGUAGAAUUGCUGGUGUAGCGGUGAAAUGCGUAGAGAUCAGCAGGAAUACCCGUGGCGAAGGCGGCCCCCUGGGCCGAACCUGACGCUGAGGCGCGAAGGCUAGGGGAGCGAACGGG
This 253-nucleotide ribosomal RNA is filed under the name uncultured bacterium. RNAcentral's name for it is "partial 16S ribosomal RNA". It matches the Rfam family "Bacterial small subunit ribosomal RNA", at positions 524 to 776 of the family's 1533-position model. The record is from RNAcentral.